This is a long non-coding RNA of Chrysemys picta bellii (western painted turtle), 2185 nucleotides long. Lineage: Eukaryota; Metazoa; Chordata; Testudines; Emydidae. The record is from Ensembl.
CCAUCCCACCACACCCAGACCCUCCCCACUGAGCCCCAACCACCUUUACCUGAACCCCCCUGCAGAGUCCCAUUGCCCAUGCACCCGAAACCCCCAAAAUGAGCCCUCGUUGACCCAGAUUCCUCUACACAUAUCCAGACCCUGCACAGAGCCACCCACACGAGAUUGCCCCACACAGAACCCCACACCUGGAUCCCCCCACAUUAAGCCACCCCACACUUGGACCCUGCCAGGAUGACUCUGUCUGCCCACACCUAAUGUGCCUGGCACGGAGCUGCUAAUCCUGGUGAGUUGCUUCAUCUGCUGCUACUACUGAGGGAAUUCUGCACCAAAAAAUUAAAAAUUCUGUGCACAAUAUUUUAAAAUUCUGCAAAUGUUAUUUGUCAAUAAAUAAAUACAGAGGCUCCAGCAUGGCAGUGAAGAGCACAGGCCACUGGCUGCAUGGAGGUGGGAGAUCACCUUGCAACCCUCCCCCCAGCCCUGGGAUACAGCCCUCUGGGGCAGGCCUGGCUCUUGCGCUAAUUCCAAUCACUGUUAAAAUUUUGCAACCUAUUCCCCCCAGUCUUAAUUUGUCUAGUUUCAACUUCCAGCCACUGUAUUUUAGAAAUCUUCAGAAAUAUCUUUGUUCACGAAGUUAAAGUGCCAUUUACUAUCAGAAAUCUUCUCCCCAUGUAAUUACCUAAGGCUUGUGUUAAAUCCACUCUUAAUCUUCUCUUUGAUAAAAUAGAUUGAACUUCUUAAAUCUUUCACUGUUAGGCAGGUUUCCAGACCUCAAAUCUCUUGUGUGACUCUUUUCUGAACCCUCUUCAAUUUUUCAACCUUUUUUUGAAGUAUGGAAACUAAAACCAAGGGCACUGGAACCUUUGCAGAAGGGGGGCACCAGUGCUGGAACGGGGGGAGGCCGUGGGCCACUAUGCCCUUUUUACAUGGGUGUAGUUUGGGGGGCAAAGGAUGAUGUUGCCUCUUGCAAACUGCAAGCCUUGGGUAAGCAUGGAGUGGUGCCAGCAGGGGUUACGCUUUUGUGGUGGUGAGCUGAUCACCAGUAUCAACUGUAGUCCUACUCAAUAUUCCCACUUUAACCCUGUUAUUGUAUUAUUAUUGGGAGUUCACGAUCAGUUGGUUUCCACACUAAGGGUUGGAUUCAUAAAAGGACAUAGGCUCCUAACUGCCACUUUAGGGGCCUAAAUCCUAGAAUCAGGCCCCACUGGGAUUCACAAAGCCCCCACUCAGCUGCCAACUAGCCCUCUAGGUGCUUGAACGCUCUCAGUGCCUAAAUUUUUGCAGUGAAAUUGACUAUGUGCCUAUGUUCCUGCUUCUGUGCAUGCACACUGGUGCCCUGCACCAGGAGUCUGGAUACCUAAGCUUUAGAGCAAUGCAUGAACCAGAGGAAGCUAAGUGUUUGGCUGCCUAACUCACCUGCAGGGCUCAAUCUGGCAGGUGUUCUCAGAACUCGCCUACUGGAUCCGGGCCCCAUGGGUGAUCUCACAGAAAACAGUGUGGGAAAAGAGGACUUCCCUCAUAACUUUCAACCCAGUUGUUAGUGUACUUACCUGGAAUGAAGAUGACACUAGGUUCAAGUCCCCCCUUUAUCUGAGGAGUUUGAAAGGGGCUCUGCUACUUCUUAGUUGUGUGCCCUAACCUGGGCUGCAAAACAUUCUGAUCUGGAGUUUCCUCUGUCUCUCCUGUUGAAGCUGUUGCACCAUGGAGAAAUAAUUUUUAAAAUGGCAUUGGAGCAAGGGGACUGGCUGCUCGGUUUCCCACCACCCGGGGAGGGCGCUAACCACCACGCUACAGAGUCUUUCCUGUGCUUGCUCCAUCUUUGGCCCAAUGACUCUGUAGCCCGGUAGCUAGAGCCCAUCUCUAGGAAGUGGGGAAGCCAGGAUCCAGUCUCCCUGCUCCAAUGGCUUCAAGAGGAGACAGUGAGGGAGCCCACCUCAAACUAUCCCAUAGCCCAGUGGUUAACGCACUUUGAAAUGUGGCAAGUCUCUACAGAUGGAGGGACUUAAACAAGUCUAUCUCUCAUCCCACAUGAGUAUCCCAAUCACUAGGCUAUGAGGGAGCACGUCUUUCCCUGGUGUCUUGCUUAGGGUUGCCAGGUGUUCGGUUUUUGACGGGAAUGCCUGGUCAGAAAGGGAUCCUCCAAAUUUCACUUGGAGAUGAGCAUUUUGUUAAAUCUUCUGUCUUC